RNAcentral lists this ribosomal RNA (159 nucleotides) under Rhizopogon sp. SNFD15-2. Its description in RNAcentral is "5.8S ribosomal RNA". It matches the Rfam family "5.8S ribosomal RNA". From Rfam's summary of the family: 5.8S ribosomal RNA (5.8S rRNA) is a component of the large subunit of the eukaryotic ribosome. It is transcribed by RNA polymerase I as part of the 45S precursor that also contains 18S and 28S rRNA. Lineage: Eukaryota; Fungi; Basidiomycota; Agaricomycetes; Boletales; Rhizopogonaceae. The record is from RNAcentral.
CAACUUUCAGCAACGGAUCUCUUGGCUCUCGCAUCGAUGAAGACGCAGCGAAAAGCGAUAUGUAAUGUGAAUUGCAGAUCUACAGUGAAUCAUCGAAUCUUUGAACGCACCUUGCGCUCCUCGGUGUUCCGAGGAGCAUGCCUGUUUGAGUGUCAGUAA